This 506-nucleotide ribosomal RNA is filed under the name uncultured bacterium. RNAcentral's name for it is "partial 16S ribosomal RNA". It matches the Rfam family "Bacterial small subunit ribosomal RNA", at positions 30 to 523 of the family's 1533-position model. The record is from RNAcentral.
AUUGAACGCUGGCGGCAGGCCUAACACAUGCAAGUCGGACGGUAACAGGAAGCAGCUUGCUGCUUUGCUGACGAGUGGCGGACGGGUGAGUAAUGUCUGGGAAACUGCCUGAUGGAGGGGGAUAACUACUGGAAACGGUAGCUAAUACCGCAUAACGUCGCAAGACCAAAGAGGGGGACCUUAGGGCCUCUUGCCAUCAGAUGUGCCCAGAUGGGAUUAGCUUGUUGGUGGGGUAACGGCUCACCAAGGCGACGAUCCCUAGCUGGUCUGAGGGGGUGACCAGCCACGCUGGGACGGAGACACGGUCCAGACGCAUACGGGAGGCAGCAGUGGGGAAUAUUGCACAAUGGGCGCAAGCCUGAUGCAGCCAUGCCGCGUGUAUGAAGAAGGCCUUCGGGUUGUAAAGUACUUUCAGCGGGGAGGAAGGGGAGAAGGUUAAUAACCUUUUUCAUUGACGUUACCCGCAGAAGAAGCACCGGCUAACUCCGUGCCAGCCGCCGCCGUAA